RNAcentral lists this transfer RNA (73 nucleotides) under Phytophthora infestans (potato late blight agent). Its description in RNAcentral is "tRNA-Glu". It matches the Rfam family "tRNA". Rfam says of the family: Transfer RNA (tRNA) molecules are approximately 80 nucleotides in length. Their secondary structure includes four short double-helical elements and three loops (D, anti-codon, and T loops). The record is from RNAcentral. Lineage: Eukaryota; Oomycota; Peronosporomycetes; Peronosporales; Peronosporaceae.
UCCCAAAUAGUCUAGGCGGUUAGGAUACGUGGCUUUCACCCACGCGACCCGGGUUGGAGGCCCGGUUCGGGAA